This 310-nucleotide long non-coding RNA is filed under the name Manihot esculenta (cassava). Its description in RNAcentral is "long non-coding RNA (MESC_LNC007851)". Lineage: Eukaryota; Viridiplantae; Streptophyta; Magnoliopsida; Malpighiales; Euphorbiaceae. The record is from RNAcentral.
UGCUACUGCUGCUCCACCUCUGGCACAGCCCUCCCCCCGUCAGCAGGUUUCUAGGCAACAACUUCCACCACCACCUCCCCUUCCACCACCACCACCUCUGUCUAACCCUCCUCUGGCUAAGGAGCAGCUUGUUCAUCCACCACCGCCACCACCGCCACCACCACAUCCGGAGAAACAUGAUCCUCCAAUUGUUACCCUGGAUGACCUCUUUCGGAAAACCAGGGCAACUCCUCGGAUAUAUUAUCUUCCAUUGUCAGAAGAACAAGUGGCAGCAAAACUUGCAGAACCAGGCAAAAAUGCCAGGCAGUAG